GCAUUCGUCCGAAACGAAUUGCUGGGGGUCGGAGGGGAGAAACGGAAUAACGGAAAACACAGAGAAAUGAACAACAAAACAUGGAACAAGGACUAACAGCUGGACGAAAGGGUCACACCACGGGUUAAACUAUGAGCAAACAGUCAUGGCUACGGUCACAUGUGUCAUAUGCCAGCUUUAGCCGAAUAGUUCUCCGAAAGAAACCCUGCAGAUUGAUAUACAGUUUAUUAAAGAAUGUGGACCACUGA
Long non-coding RNA from Eubalaena glacialis (North Atlantic right whale), 248 nucleotides. RefSeq lists it as uncharacterized. The record is from RefSeq and is a predicted model, not a curated record. The transcript has 2 exons. NCBI's taxonomy places the organism in Eukaryota, Metazoa, Chordata, Mammalia, Artiodactyla, Balaenidae.